GGACCCGCACAAGCAGCGGAGCGUGUGGUUUAAUUCGAGGCUACGCGAAGAACCUUACCAGGGUUUGACAUACUGGUGGUAGGAAUGUGAAAACAGACUGACCCUUCGGGGAGCCAGUACAGGUGCUGCAUGGCUGUCGUCAGCUCGUGCCGUGAGGUGUUAGGUUAAGUCCUGUAACGAGCGCAACCCUCAUCGUUAGUUAUAUGUGUCUAACGAGACCGCCGGUGAUAAGCCGGAGGAAGGUGGGGAUGACGUCAAGUCAGCAUGGCCUUUAUAUCCUGGGCUACACACACGCUACAAUGGCCGGUACAAUGGGUCGCGAAGCCGCGAGGCGGAGCCAAUCCUCUAAAGCCGGUCUCAGUUCGGAUUGUAGGCUGCAACUCGCCUGCAUGAAGUCGGAGUUGCUAGUAACCGCGCGUCAGCAACAGUGCGGUGAAUACGUUCCCGGGUCUU
This 453-nucleotide ribosomal RNA is filed under the name uncultured bacterium. Its description in RNAcentral is "bacterial SSU rRNA". It matches the Rfam family "Bacterial small subunit ribosomal RNA", at positions 917 to 1382 of the family's 1533-position model. The record is from RNAcentral.